Molecule: transfer RNA, 91 nt
Filed under: Lutibaculum baratangense AMV1
Lineage: Bacteria; Pseudomonadati; Pseudomonadota; Alphaproteobacteria; Hyphomicrobiales; Tepidamorphaceae
Description: Phyllobacteriaceae bacterium AMV1 Selenocysteine transfer RNA
Rfam family: Selenocysteine transfer RNA
Source: Rfam by way of RNAcentral
GGAGGCGACAGGGGUCUGGUGGCCCUCCUGGUCUUCAAAACCAGAGACACGUCGACAAGGCGUGUGGUGGGUUCGAUUCCCAUCCGCCUCC